RNAcentral lists this ribosomal RNA (497 nucleotides) under uncultured bacterium. RNAcentral describes it as "partial 16S ribosomal RNA". It matches the Rfam family "Bacterial small subunit ribosomal RNA", at positions 28 to 507 of the family's 1533-position model. The record is from RNAcentral.
GAUGAACGCUGGCGGCGUGCCUAAUACAUGCAAGUCGAGCGAACAGAUGAGGAGCUUGCUCCUCUGACGUUAGCGGCGGACGGGUGAGUAACACGUGGAUAACCUACCUAUAAGACUGGGAUAACUUCGGGAAACCGGAGCUAAUACCGGAUAAUAUAUUUAACCGCAUGGUUCAAUAGUGAAAGACGGUUUUGCUGUCACUUAUAGAUGGAUCCGCGCCGCAUUAGCUAGUUGGUAAGGUAACGGCUUACCAAGGCAACGAUGCGUAGCCGACCUGAGAGGGUGAUCGGCCACACUGGAACUGAGACACGGUCCAGACUCCUACGGGAGGCAGCAGUAGGGAAUCUUCCGCAAUGGGCGAAAGCCUGACGGAGCAACGCCGCGUGAGUGAUGAAGGUCUUCGGAUCGUAAAACUCUGUUAUUAGGGAAGACCAAAUGUGUAAGUAACUAUGCACGUCUUGACGGUACCUAAUCAGAAAGCCACGGCUAACUACGUG